UACGAAGGGGGCGAGCGUUGUUCGGAUUUACUGGGCGUAAAGGGCGCGCAGGCGGCUCAUCAAGUCAGGCGUGAAAGCCCCGGGCUUAACCCGGGAGGUGCGUCUGGGACUGGUGGGCUAGAGAUCGGGAGAGGAGAGUGGAAUUCCCAGUGUAGAGGUGAAAUUCGUAGAUAUUCGGAAGAACACCAGUGGCGAAGGCGACUCACUGGACAGGUAUUGACGCUGAGGUGCGAAAGCGUGGGGAGCAAACAGG
This 253-nucleotide ribosomal RNA is filed under the name uncultured bacterium. Its description in RNAcentral is "partial 16S ribosomal RNA". It matches the Rfam family "Bacterial small subunit ribosomal RNA", at positions 524 to 776 of the family's 1533-position model. The record is from RNAcentral.